AUUUUCUGCCACCGAAUACAUUAGCAUGGGAUAAUGGAAUAGGACCCUGUCCUCCUAUUUUCAGUUGGUUUUGGCAGCGCGAGGACUAGGGUAAUGAUUAAUAGGGAUAGUUGGGGGCAUUAAUAUUUAAUUGUCAGAGGUGAAAUUCUUGGAUUUAUGAAAGAUUAACUUCUGCGAAAGCAUCUGCCAAGGAUGUUUUCAUUAAUCAAGAACGAAAGUUAGGGGAUCGAAGACGAUCAGAUACCGUCGUAGUCUUAACCAUAAACGAUGCCGACCAGCGAUUAGGAGACGUUGAAUACAAAACACCACCAUCGGCGCGGUCGUCCCUGGCUCGUCGUCUCACGACGGCGGGCGGGGGCGGUUUAGCCCGAUGGCACCGGUGAAUGACUCCCUAGCACUUUGUGAGACAA
Molecule: ribosomal RNA, 410 nt
Filed under: Acanthamoeba sp. MN-2012
Lineage: Eukaryota; Discosea; Longamoebia; Acanthamoebidae
Description: SSU rRNA
Rfam family: Eukaryotic small subunit ribosomal RNA
Source: RNAcentral